UACGAAGGGGGCUAGCGUUGCUCGGAAUUACUGGGCGUAAAGCGCACGUAGGCGGCUUCUUAAGUCGGUGGUGAGAUCCUGGAGCUCAACUCCAGAACUGCCUUCGAUACUGGGAAGCUCGAGUCCGGGAGAGGUGAGUGGAACUGCGAGUGUAGAGGUGAAAUUCGUAGAUAUUCGCAAGAACACCAGUGGCGAAGGCGGCUCACUGGCCCGAUACUGACGCUGAGGUGCGAAAGCGUGGGGAGCAAACAGG
RNAcentral lists this ribosomal RNA (253 nucleotides) under uncultured bacterium. Its description in RNAcentral is "partial 16S ribosomal RNA". It matches the Rfam family "Bacterial small subunit ribosomal RNA", at positions 524 to 776 of the family's 1533-position model. The record is from RNAcentral.